UACGGAGGGGGCUAGCGUUGUUCGGAAUUACUGGGCGUAAAGCGCACGUAGGCGGCUUUGUAAGUUAGAGGUGAAAGCCCAGGGCUUAACCCUGGAAUUGCCUUUAAGACUGCAUCGCUAGAAUCGUGGAGAGGUAAGUGGAAUUCUCGGAGUAGCGGUAAAAUGCGUAGAUCUCGAGAGGAACACCGAUGGCGAAGGCAGCUUCUUGGUCCAUACCUGACGUUCAUGCACGAAAGCGUGGGGAGCAAACAGG
Molecule: ribosomal RNA, 253 nt
Filed under: uncultured bacterium
Lineage: Bacteria
Description: partial 16S ribosomal RNA
Rfam family: Bacterial small subunit ribosomal RNA
Source: RNAcentral